UUGCCAGCCCGCUCAGAAACUCAAAGGAAUUGACGGGGCCCGCACAAGCGGUGGAGCAUGUGGUUUAAUUCGAUGGUACGCGAGGAACCUUACCUGGGCUCAAAUGUAUGUUGACGUAUUCUGAAAGGGAUACUUCUUCGGACAAUAUACAAGGUGCUGCAUGGUUGUCGUCAGCUCGUGCCGUGAGGUGUCGGGUUAAGUCCCAUAACGAGCGCAACCCCUAUCAUUAGUUGCCAUCAGGUCAAGCUGGGGACUCUAAUGAAACUGCCUACGCAAGUAGUGAGGAAGGUGGGGAUGACGUCAAAUCAGCACGGCCCUUACGUCCAGGGCUACACACGUGCUACAAUGGCCGGUACAAAGGGCAGCUACCUGGUGACAGGAUGCUAAUCUCAAAAGCCGGUCUCAGUUCGGAUCGGAGUCUGCAACCCGACUCCGUGAAGCUGGAAUCACUAGUAAUCGCGCAUCAGCCAUGGCGCGGUGAAUACGUUCCCGGGCCUU
RNAcentral lists this ribosomal RNA (498 nucleotides) under uncultured Sphingobacteriales bacterium. RNAcentral's name for it is "bacterial SSU rRNA". It matches the Rfam family "Bacterial small subunit ribosomal RNA", at positions 880 to 1382 of the family's 1533-position model. Lineage: Bacteria; Pseudomonadati; Bacteroidota; Sphingobacteriia; Sphingobacteriales. The record is from RNAcentral.